UACGAGGGGGGCAAGCGUUGUUCGGAAUUACUGGGCGUAAAGGGUGCGUAGGCGGUCGGGUAAGUCUGGUGUGAAAUCUUCGAGCUUAACUCGGAAACUGCAUUGGAUACUAUUCGGCUAGAGAGUUGGAGGGGGGAUUGGAAUACUUGGUGUAGCAGUGAAAUGCGUAGAUAUCAAGUGGAACACCAGUGGCGAAGGCGAAUCCCUGGACAACUUCUGACGCUGAGGCACGAAAGCUAGGGGAGCAAACAGG
RNAcentral lists this ribosomal RNA (253 nucleotides) under uncultured bacterium. RNAcentral's name for it is "partial 16S ribosomal RNA". It matches the Rfam family "Bacterial small subunit ribosomal RNA", at positions 524 to 776 of the family's 1533-position model. The record is from RNAcentral.